UGUGAGGGAGUUUGCAUCGAGAUGUGCACAGAGGGAGGCUUGUGGCAUGUGCCUCGGGUCUGGGCCUCGCUGGGCAGAACCUGGAGGGUGUGGAGCGGGCAUUCAGGCCCCACGUGGCUCCUGCUUCCUGGAGACACUGUGCCCUGCCUCAGGACCCUUGCACUUGCUGUCCUCCUCUUGGCCUGCCCAACCCCAACAUAGGCCUCUCCCCAGAUGCUGCUUCCUGGGAGAGGCCGUGUCACUGCCCCUGGUCUAGACGCAGAGACCUCAGCUGCUGAUUGCCCCCUCUGUCUGCUUCCUGUCCUGUGUUUGAGUCCCAAGCACCUGGUCUGGUGGCAUCUACACAGCAGGUGUGUGCCACGGGCAGACUGUGUGCAGGCGGGGGCUCCCUGCCCAGUUGUGGCUCCUGCAUCCUCCUAGCCAGGGCCUGGAGUCCCAGCGCGAGGACGGAGCCCUGAGCCUGUCACCCCCACGGAUCUGGCUUCCGUCCCUGAUGGCUGUUUUAGCACCGGGAGCCCUGGAAGCCAGGCCCUGGACACCACUGCUCCACCAGGACGCUGUGCCCUGGUGCUGGUGGUGCUGGCAGCGUGCUGUGUGCUGCGCCCCAAGUGCAGCUGCCCCUUCUGCUAGGCAGGCACAGGGUAGGCCGCAUGGGUGCUUGCUGGGGACGCAGCCGUCUGCAUGACAGUGAGCCCUUUGCUGGUUCUCACCGUGACGUCAUAAUGGGCCCUUGUGCCCUGCCUGGCGGGCAGCUGUGGGGCUGGCAGGAAGUGGAGAGGUGGCGACGGCGGGGCAGGGCCCAGGGCCCAGUGUGGCCUCUCGGUCAGCCGGACCCGCACGCACUCACCGAGCCCGAGCCGGGCCCUGGCCCUGUGGGGUGCUGGUCCCCUCCCCACUCUGCUUCCAGCCCCUUCUGGGCCUGUGAAGUGGGCUGGGCGGUGGGUGGCUGAGCAGCUGAAGACAGGAGCGCAUGUCCCGGGAUGGUGGUUCCGGCUCACAGCAGUGUUGGGAGACAGCGCCUUCGCAGAGGUGUGGGAGGAAGCCUCCUGGUCCACGGACCCUGCAUCCCUGGGAGGGACAGGUAGAGACAGGGAC
Molecule: long non-coding RNA, 1095 nt
Filed under: Heterocephalus glaber (naked mole-rat)
Lineage: Eukaryota; Metazoa; Chordata; Mammalia; Rodentia; Bathyergidae
Description: lncRNA (ENSHGLG00100052558.1)
Source: RNAcentral